Molecule: ribosomal RNA, 253 nt
Filed under: uncultured bacterium
Lineage: Bacteria
Description: partial 16S ribosomal RNA
Rfam family: Bacterial small subunit ribosomal RNA
Source: RNAcentral
UACGUAGGGUGCAAGCGUUGUCCGGAAUUAUUGGGCGUAAAGAGCUCGUAGGCGGUUUGUUGCGUCGGCUGUGAAAUCCCGAGGCUCAACCUCGGGUCUGCAGUCGAUACGAGCAAACUAGAGUACUGCAGGGGAGACUGGAAUUCCUGGUGUAGCGGUGGAAUGCGCAGAUAUCAGGAGGAACACCGGUGGCGAAGGCGGGUCUCUGGGCAGUAACUGACGCUGAGAAGCGAAAGCGUGGGGAGCGAACAGG